AAUUCUCAACCUCACCAGUUUUGUAACGAGACAGGUGAAGGCUUGGAUGUGGGGGUUUUGCAGGCUGCCUCAGUGCUGGUCUGCUCCCCUGAAAUGCAUUAGCGAGCUUAUAUUGAGCUUCCAUCUAUUGGUGUGAUAAUUAUCUACGCUGUGGACUGGACUCAUGCUUGCUUCUAACCGUCCACAAGGACAAUUUACUUGACCA
Molecule: unclassified non-coding RNA, 205 nt
Filed under: uncultured Pyrrhoderma
Lineage: Eukaryota; Fungi; Basidiomycota; Agaricomycetes; Hymenochaetales; Hymenochaetaceae
Description: sequence contains ITS2
Source: RNAcentral